RNAcentral lists this ribosomal RNA (853 nucleotides) under uncultured bacterium. Its description in RNAcentral is "bacterial SSU rRNA". It matches the Rfam family "Bacterial small subunit ribosomal RNA", at positions 629 to 1482 of the family's 1533-position model. The record is from RNAcentral.
GAAACUUUCAGCGUUGAUUCCGGGAGAGGUAGGUGAAAUCCAAGUUUAAUGGUAAAGUGGGAAAAUUUCGAGAGGAACACCAAUGGCGGUGGCAGCAUACUGGCCCUGUAUUUACGCUCAGGCGGGAGAGCAGGGAGAGCGAACGGGAUAAGAUGCCCCGGUAGUGCAUGCCGUUAAACGAUGGGUACUAGGUGUUGGGGGAGUCUCUCCCCGCAGUGCCGCAGCUAAUGCAUCGAGUACCCCACCUCGGGAGUACGAUCGCAAGCUUGUAACUCAAAGAGAGUGACGGGGGCCCGCACAAGCGGUGGAGCAUGUGGUUUAAUUCGAUGCACCGCGAAGACCCUUCCCUGGGCUUGACAUGCAGGGGACAGGUGUAGAAAUACAUCCUUCGUCGGACGCCUGUACAGGUGCUACAUGGCUGUCGUCAGCUCGUGUCGUGAAAUGUGGGCUUAAGUCCCGCAACGAGCGCAACCCCUGUCUUCAGUUGCCAUCAGUUCGGCUGGGGACUCUGGAGAGACUGCCGGUGACAAACCGGAGGAAGGUGGGGACGACGUCAAGUCAGCAUGGCCCUUACGCCCAGGGCUACACCCGUGCUACAAUGGUCGGUACAAAGGGCAGCAAUGCCGUGAGGUGGAGGGAAUCCCAAAAAGCCGGCCUCAGUUCGAAUGGCAGUCGGCAACUCGACUGCAAGAAGUAGGAAUCGCUAGUAAUCGCGUAUCAGAACGACGCGGUGAAUGCGUUCCCGGGCCUUGUACACACCACCCGUCAAGUCAACCGAGUUGGUUGCACCCCAAGUCGAUGAGCUAGCCCGUAAGGGAGGCAGGGGCCCAAGGUGUGAUUAGCGAGGGGGACU